AUUGAACGCUGGCGGCAGGCCUAACACAUGCAAGUCGGACGGUAGCACAGAGGAGCUUGCUCCUCGGGUGACGAGUGGCGGACGGGUGAGUAAUGUCUGGGGAUCUGCCCGAUAGAGGGGGAUAACCACUGGAAACGGUGGCUAAUACCGCAUAACGUCGCAAGACCAAAGAGGGGGACCUUCGGGCCUCUCACUAUCGGAUGAACCCAGAUGGGAUUAGCUAGUAGGCGGGGUAACGGCCCACCUAGGCGACGAUCCCUAGCUGGUCUGAGAGGAUGACCAGCCACACUGGAACAGAGACCCGGUCCAAACUCCUACGGGAGGCAGCAGUGGGGAAUAUUGCACAAUGGGCGCAAGCCUGAUGCAGCCAUGCCGCGUGUAUGAAGAAGGCCUUCGGGUUGUAAAGUACUUUCAGCGGGGAGGAAGGCGAUAAGGUUAAUAACCUUGUCGAUUGACGUUACCCGCAGAAGAAGCACCGGCUAACUCCGUGCCAGCCGCCGCAGUAA
Molecule: ribosomal RNA, 506 nt
Filed under: uncultured bacterium
Lineage: Bacteria
Description: partial 16S ribosomal RNA
Rfam family: Bacterial small subunit ribosomal RNA
Source: RNAcentral